AACGAACGCUGGCGGCAUGCCUAACACAUGCAAGUCGAACGAGACCUUCGGGUCUAGUGGCGCACGGGUGCGUAACGCGUGGGAACCUGCCCUUAGGUUCGGAAUAACUCCCCGAAAGGGGUGCUAAUACCGGAUAAUGUCUUCGGACCAAAGAUUUAUCGCCUUUGGAUGGGCCCGCGUUGGAUUAGCUAGUUGGUAGGGUAAAAGCCUACCAAGGCGACGAUCCAUAGCUGGUCUGAGAGGAUGAUCAGCCACACUGGGAUUGAGACACGGCCCAGACUCCUACGGGAGGCAGCAGUGGGGAAUAUUGGACAAUGGGCGAAAGCCUGAUCCAGCAAUGCCGCGUGAGUGAUGAAGGCCUUGGGGUUGUAAAGCUCUUUUACCCGGGAUGAUAAUGACAGUACCGGGAGAAUAAGCUCCGGCUAACUCCGUG
Molecule: ribosomal RNA, 433 nt
Filed under: uncultured bacterium
Lineage: Bacteria
Description: partial 16S ribosomal RNA
Rfam family: Bacterial small subunit ribosomal RNA
Source: RNAcentral